Molecule: ribosomal RNA, 1101 nt
Filed under: uncultured bacterium
Lineage: Bacteria
Description: bacterial SSU rRNA
Rfam family: Bacterial small subunit ribosomal RNA
Source: RNAcentral
AGCCAAAGCUUUAUGUGCUGAAAGAUGGCCUCGCGUCUGAUUAGCUAGUUGGCGGGGUAACGGCCCACCAAGGCGGCGAUCAGUAGCCGGUCUGAGAGGAUGAACGGCCACAUUGGGACUGAGAUACGGCCCAGACUCCUACGGGAGGCAGCAGUGGGGAAUAUUGGGCAAUGGGGGAAACCCUGACCCAGCAACGCCGCGUGAAGGAAGAAGGCCUUCGGGUUGUAAACUUCUUUUAGCAGGGACGAAGGACGUGACGGUACCUGCAGAAAAAGCAACGGCUAACUACGUGCCAGCAGCCGCGGUAAUACGUAGGUUGCAAGCGUUGUCCGGAUUUACUGGGUGUAAAGGGCGUGUAGGCGGAGAUGCAAGUUGGGAGUGAAAUCCCGGGGCUCAACCCCGGAACUGCUUUCAAAACUGUAUCCCUUGAGUAUCGGAGAGGCAAGCGGAAUUCCUAGUGUAGCGGUGAAAUGCGUAGAUAUUAGGAGGAACACCAGUGGCGAAGGCGGCUUGCUGGACGACAACUGACGCUGAGGCGCGAAAGCGUGGGGAGCAAACAGGAUUAGAUACCCUGGUAGUCCACGCUGUAAACGAUGAAUACUAGGUGUGGGAGGACUGACCCCUUCCGUGCCGCAGUUAACACAAUAAGUAUUCCACCUGGGGAGUACGACCGCAAGGUUGAAACUCAAAGGAAUUGACGGGGGCCCGCACAAGCAGUGGAUUAUGUGGUUUAAUUCGACGCAACGCGAAGAACCUUACCAGGACUUGACAUCCAACUAACGAAGUAGAGAUACAUUAGGUGCCCUUCGGGGAAAGUUGAGACAGGUGGUGCAUGGUUGUCGUCAGCUCGUGUCGUGAGAUGUUGGGUUAAGUCCCGCAACGAGCGCAACCCCUAUUGUUAGUUGCUACGCAAGAGCACUCUAGCGAGACUGCCGUUGACAAAACGGAGGAAGGCGGGGACGACGUCAAAUCAUCAUGCCCCUUAUGCUCUGGGCUACACACGUAAUACAAUGGCCGUCAACAGAGGGAAGCAAAGCCGCGAGGCGGAGCAAAUCCCUAAAAACGGUCUCAGUUCGGAUUGCAGGCUGCUAUAGGCUAACA